RNAcentral lists this ribosomal RNA (497 nucleotides) under uncultured bacterium. RNAcentral describes it as "partial 16S ribosomal RNA". It matches the Rfam family "Bacterial small subunit ribosomal RNA", at positions 28 to 507 of the family's 1533-position model. The record is from RNAcentral.
GAUGAACGCUGGCGGCGUGCCUAAUACAUGCAAGUCGAGCGAACAGACGAGGAGCUUGCUCCUCUGACGUUAGCGGCGGACGGGUGAGUAACACGUGGAUAACCUACCUAUAAGACUGGGAUAACUUCGGGAAACCGGAGCUAAUACCGGAUAAUAUAUUGAACCGCAUGGUUCAAUAGUGAAAGACGGUUUUGCUGUCACUUAUAGAUGGAUCCGCGCCGCAUUAGCUAGUUGGUAAGGUAACGGCUUACCAAGGCAACGAUGCGUAGCCGACCUGAGAGGGUGGUCGGCCACCUGGGAACGUGGACAGCGUCCAGGGGCCUACGGGACGCAGCAGUAGGGAACGGGACGCAAUGGGCGAAAGCAUGACGGAGCAAGGCCGCGUGAGUGAUGAAGGUCUUCGGAUCGUAAAAACGUGUUAUUAGGGAAGAACAAAUGUGUAAGUAAAUAUGCACGUCGUGACGGUACCUAAUCAGAAAGCCACGGCUAACUACGUG